RNAcentral lists this unclassified non-coding RNA (329 nucleotides) under soil metagenome. Its description in RNAcentral is "partial contains 5.8S ribosomal RNA, internal transcribed spacer 2, and large subunit ribosomal RNA". The stretch from base 1 to 120 matches the Rfam family "5.8S ribosomal RNA", at positions 35 to 154 of the family's 154-position model. The record is from RNAcentral.
GAUGAAGAACGUAGCGAAAUGCGAUAAGUAGUGUGAAUUGCAGAAUUCAGUGAAUCAUCGAAUCUUUGAACGCACAUUGCGCCCCUUGGUAUCCCGAGGGGCAUGCCUGUUCGAGCGUCAUUUCACCACUCAAGCCUGGCUUGGUGUUGGGCGACGUCCCCUUUAGGGACGCGCCUCGAAACGCUCGGCGGCGUGGCACCGGCUUUAAGCGUAGCAGAAUCUUUCGCUUUGGAAGUCGGGGCCCCGCCUGCCGGAAUACCUACUCGUAAGGUUGACCUCGGAUCAGGCGGGGCUACCCGCUGAGUUUAAGCAUAUCAAUAAGCGGAGGA